UGAUGUCACAUAGGUUAUCGCUGGUCUAAUCUUAAAUCUAAUCCGCGUGGGUUAGAAAGGAGGACGAGAGGAAAGUCCGAGCUCCGUAGAGUACAAUGCCGGGUAACCCCCGGUGGCGGCAACGCUAAGGAAAGUGCCACAGAAAAAAGACCGCCUGACCCAGAGCUUGCAGCUUUUGAAAGCUCUGAACAAGGAAGGUAAGGGUGAAAAGGUGGAGUAAGAGCCCACCGCAUCUGCGGUAACGCUAGAUGGCAUGGUAAACCCCAUUGGGAGCAAGGCCGUGUAGGUAGGCAAGCGAUCAUCUGCACAUGGAUUGCAUCUCUCUCUCCUUUACAGGAGUAGAGAGGGAAGGGCUACUCGCUCGGGCCUACGGGUUGGCUGCUUGAGGUAGUCGGUAACGGCUAUCCUAGAGGAAUGAUAACUGUUGUUGUUCAGAUGACUGAAAGCAAUACAAAACUCGGCUUAUUUGCGGCAUUGACCA
RNAcentral lists this RNase P RNA (481 nucleotides) under Pajaroellobacter abortibovis. RNAcentral's name for it is "Bacterial RNase P class A". It matches the Rfam family "Bacterial RNase P class A". Rfam says of the family: Ribonuclease P (RNase P) is a ubiquitous endoribonuclease, found in archaea, bacteria and eukarya as well as chloroplasts and mitochondria. Its best characterised activity is the generation of mature 5'-ends of tRNAs by cleaving the 5'-leader elements of precursor-tRNAs. Cellular RNase Ps are ribonucleoproteins. Lineage: Bacteria; Pseudomonadati; Myxococcota; Polyangiales; Polyangiaceae. The record is from Rfam by way of RNAcentral.